AUAUGCUAAUGACCUUUCCUUCAUCCCAUGACCAACUGCUUUCUUUUCUGAUUAUACCCCCCUCCCCUUAUCUUUUCUCUCUGUAGAUUUAUGUUGUUAAUGCCCUCAACUUCAAAGGAGGCUUUCCUCCUUUGAAUGAGGGUAUAUCUUAUGCACCCAUAUAACUAUGUGGUGCAUUUUCUUGUGUUUGCCUGUCAUCAUAGAGCCUUUUUUUACUGCCUGUCAUCAUAGAGCCUUUUGUUUUUGUUCCAGUGGUGUGAUUGGUUUCAUGCUUUGCUCAACUGAGGGACCUCCUGUUGACUUCAAGCAUCCUGUGAACCCUAUUGACAGUGAUGAUAGCUGCUGCAAAUCAAAACGACCC
RNAcentral lists this long non-coding RNA (361 nucleotides) under Theobroma cacao (cacao). RNAcentral's name for it is "long non-coding RNA (TCAC_LNC001330)". Lineage: Eukaryota; Viridiplantae; Streptophyta; Magnoliopsida; Malvales; Malvaceae. The record is from RNAcentral.